UUGCUGCCACAACGGCUUCCUGGCGUGGCAGUGUUUUUCCAAUGGAGCA
This is a regulatory RNA element of 49 nucleotides. It matches the Rfam family "SAM/SAH riboswitch aptamer". The record is from Rfam.